GAUAAACGCUGGCGGCGUGCCUAAUGCAUGCAAGUCGCACGGAGUGUCCUUUCGGGGGCGAUUGAGUGGCGAACGGGUGAGGAACGCGUGGAGAACCUACCCCGGCGUGGGGGAGUACCCGCCAGAAAUGGUGGCUAAUACCGCGUACGGUCCAGGGGCGAGAGGCCAUCUGGAAGAAAGCAGUGAUGCGCGCUGGGAGGGGUCUGCGCCCGAUUAGCUGGUUGGCGGGGUAACGGCCCACCAAGGCGGUGAUCGGUAGCUGGUCUGAGAGGAUGAUCAGCCACACGGGGACUGAGACACGGCCCCGACUCCUACGGGAGGCAGCAGCAAGGAAUUUUCCGCAAUGGGGGCAACCCUGACGGAGCAACGCCGCGUGACGGAUGACGCCUCUUGGGGUGUAAACGUCUUUUGCCGAGGGAGAGCAUGGACGGUACUCGGCGAAUCAGGACCGGCUAACUACGUGCCAGCAGCCGCAGUAAG
This 480-nucleotide ribosomal RNA is filed under the name uncultured bacterium. RNAcentral's name for it is "bacterial SSU rRNA". It matches the Rfam family "Bacterial small subunit ribosomal RNA", at positions 28 to 524 of the family's 1533-position model. The record is from RNAcentral.